This is a long non-coding RNA of Falco peregrinus (peregrine falcon), 570 nucleotides long. RefSeq lists it as uncharacterized. The record is from RefSeq and is a predicted model, not a curated record. The transcript has 4 exons. NCBI's taxonomy places the organism in Eukaryota, Metazoa, Chordata, Aves, Falconiformes, Falconidae.
AGCUCAAAACUGCAGUUCUCCAACCCAUAACAAGGGCAUGUGGUGCGGUGGGUGAAGGUUAAACCUGUCUGCAGGUACAAACCUCACCAGGGCCACCUCACUGAAGGAGGUGAAUUUGGCCAUGACCACUCUGGGGUAACACUACUUCUCCUGCUACCCACAGCAUGUCCCCAGCAUCCUUUCCCUGCUGUGACUUAAUUUGAAGAGUGGAUCACAGAACCAAACACACUGCAGGUACAAGCACUGCUGGUCUCCAAAGGACAGCUGGUAGUACUUCUAGGCAGCUUCUCUCCUCACCGAAACGAUGAGCCCUCCCCUUCCUUAGGUCAUCCUCAAAGAAACUGGAUUUGGAGAUCCUGGACACAGCAGACUUCACUCAUCAGCAAUCAACCUAGGCAGGACUCUGAGAGCAGAGGAAGCCUACUGGAUGGGCCACCAGGAAUAAAGCUUUGGAAUGUCCAAGCCUGGAUUUUAAGGUUAUGGUCCUGCCAGGAGCCUGCUCCAGUGUGGGCUGCCCACGGGGUCACAGCCUCCUUCAGACAACCCCCUAGUCUGGCAUGGGGUCCUCCA